CCACCAGUGGCACUAUGAUCGAGCCCAGGAAUUCCAGCCUGGUUCGGCAAGGGUGGAAACUUGACUUUUAAAGUCAGUUAACUCUUGCCUCGGGAAGAUGCUUGGCUGGGAAUUGUUCUGUAUAGUCCCUGCCAUCUAACAGCCUGUAACCGCGCACUGCCAGGGGCUAGUGUAUUGUGCCUAGUAUGUCCAGUAUGUAUUGAUAAAAUUAGUGUUAACAAAUAGGUUUAAAAUAGGUUGACAUGAUCAGGGACUAUUUCUGUCUGUGCUCCUGACAUGGAAGAGUGGGUCAUUGUUGUUGUAGAUGAAAGCGAGUGAAUAUUGUAUACUAUAAGUCACCAUACUUGCCAACUGGACCAUUGUCUGAAACUUUAGGCUUUAGGAACAAUGAACCUGUGAUCUAGUGCUUCAACUGUUGGAGUUCCUUCUCAAAGGCUUGGUGUGGAGACUUUGAUACCAGACUCCUUUCACAAAGAAUCUAGAAUAGAUCCAGAUAGAUCAGGUCCUCCCUCCCAAAACUUUAUCAGGCGACUCAAUGGAUCAGGUGGUCAGGCUUGCUGACUUGGGUAGUACUGGUUAUUGGACUUAAAUGGACCAGGUGGUCAGGCUUGCUGACUUGGGUAGUACUGGUUAUUGGACUUAAAUGGAUCAGAUGGUCAGGCUUGAUGACUUGGGUAGUACUGGUUAUUGGACUUAAAUGGAUCAGGUGGUCAGGCUUGAUGACUUGGGUAGUACUGGUUAUUGGACUUAAAUGGAUCAGGUGGUCAGGCUUGCUGACUUGGGUAGUACUGGUUAUUGGACUUAAAUGGAUCAGGUGGUCAGGCUUGCUGACUUGGGUAGUACUGGUUAUUGGACUUAAAUGGAUCAGGUGGUCAGGCUUGCUGACUUGGGUAGUACUGGUUAUUGGACUUAAAUGGAUCAGGUGGUCAGGCUUGCUGACUUGGGUAGGACUGGUUAAUGGACUUAAAUGGAUCAGGUGGUCAGGCUUGCUGACUUGGGUAGUACUGGUUAUUGGACUUAAAUGGACCAGGUGGUCAGGCUUGCUGACUUGGGUAGUACUGGUUAUUGGACUUAAAUGGAUCAGGUGGUCAGGCUUGCUGACUUGGGUAGUACUGGUUAUUGGACUUAAAUGGAUCAGGUGGUCAGGCUUGCUGACUUGGGUAGUACUGGUUAUUGGACUUAAAUGGAUCAGGUGGUCAGGCUUGCUGACUUGGGUAGUACUGGUCAUUGGACUUAAAUGGAUCAGGUGGUCAGGCUUGCUGACCUGGGUAGUACUGGUUAUUGGACUUAAAUGGAUCAGGUGGUCAGGCUUGCUGACUUGGGUAGUACUGGUUAUUGCCCUGCAUGGUCAGGCUUCUCAGGUAGAUCAAUAAAUUAAGAAUCAAUUGUAGCUGCUAUUUUUAUUUCCAUACAAAAAAAAUGCCUCUUGGUAACCAAACAUGCUACGAUCGAGUGUUCCAGCAAGUCAAUGCUUCAAUGCUGUUUCCUCGGUUUAAAUUGACGUGCAUAAGUUGCUUUGAAUACCUGCAAUAUUGCUGAUGUGGCAUUAAGCAGUAUUUGCCUACUCAUAAGUCGUUCAUCUGACCAACAUAAUAAAUAACAUUCAAUGAAACUAUCCAGGACAACAAGGAUCAGUGUGGUGUGUAGUGAAGCACAACACAAGUUGUAGUUACCAAUGCCUGUGGCAGAAUUACACGUCUAUCCCCAGCUAAUCACUGCACCCACUCAUAAGUGGUUUAACGCUUGCAAUUUGCAUAUUAGUUAUGUUAUGAAAUUUCCACUUUCAGCCAAUUGGUAAAUUAUAGACCCAUAGUCCUUACAAGUUAAAAUAGAAUCUCAAAAUAUCACGCUGAUAUAUUAGUGAUGACUGCUAAUACUUUUAAAAUGACAACACGCAAUUUUGGCGAUGAGGAAUAUUACUCACCACUCUUACAGUAAUUGCAAUAUGCAAUUACUGUAAAAAAAUAUCCACUUUGCUUGCGAUAAAAAUCAAGUUUUUAUCACAUGGUUACAAUCCGGGUAAGAAUCGACUGUCACCAUGGCAGUGAACAUGGCCAAUAGCGCUUACAGCAUCUGCGCAUUAUUUUCAAAAUGAGGUUGGAUAGUAGGCUGAUUGUUUUUGUAAAUUUCUGUAACUGAGAGAUAGAUCAACAUGAAAGGGAUGACAUUAGUUUCAAUUUUGUUGUGAAGAAAAAGCUAUAGUCAGAUUGUUUGUGAAAUAUGGCCCCCUUUUCUGAGCAAUAUUGGUCUCCUGGCUCUGAAUUCCGAAAACAAGGCUCUUGUUCCCUGGAACUGGUUCCUUGAUCCAAAAAUCUUAUCUACCAACCCCAAGCUCAGUGACAAUAUAUUUGCAGAUAGUAUGUGUAACUACUUUUAUCUA
Haliotis rufescens (red abalone) is the source of this 2380-nucleotide long non-coding RNA. RefSeq lists it as uncharacterized. The record is from RefSeq and is a predicted model, not a curated record. The transcript has 3 exons. Lineage: Eukaryota; Metazoa; Mollusca; Gastropoda; Lepetellida; Haliotidae.